This 620-nucleotide ribosomal RNA is filed under the name uncultured Alphaproteobacteria bacterium. RNAcentral describes it as "bacterial SSU rRNA". It matches the Rfam family "Bacterial small subunit ribosomal RNA", at positions 91 to 746 of the family's 1533-position model. Lineage: Bacteria; Pseudomonadati; Pseudomonadota; Alphaproteobacteria. The record is from RNAcentral.
GGAAGUGGCGCACGGGUGAGUAACACGUGGGAACCUACCCUUUGGUUGGGAAUAACCGCGGGAAACUGCGGCUAAUACCGAAUAAGCCCUACGGGGGAAAGAUUUAUCGCCGAAGGAUGGGCCCGCGCCGGAUUAGCCUGUUGGUAGGGUAACGGCCUACCAAGGCUACGAUCUGUAGCUGGUCUGAGAGGAUGGUCAGCCACACUGGGACUGAAACACGGCCCAGACUCCUACGGGAGGCAGCAGUGGGGAAUAUUGGACAAUGGGCGCAAGCCUGAUCCAGCCAUGCCGCGUGAGUGAAGAAGGCCCUAGGGUUGUAAAGCUCUUUCACCGGGGAAGAUAAUGACGGUACCCGGAAAAGAAGCCCCGGCUAACUCCGUGCCAGCAGCCGCGGUAAUACGGAGGGGGCUAGCGUUGUUCGGAAUUACUGGGCGUAAAGCGCACGUAGGCGGCGUGUAUAGUUAGGGGUGAAAGGCCUGGGCUCAACCUGGGAACUGCCUCUAAUACUGACACGCUAGAAUUCGGGAGAGGGUAGCGGAAUUCCAAGUGUAGAGGUGAAAUUCGUAGAUAUUUGGAAGAACACCGGUGGCGAAGGCGGCUACCUGGACCGAUAUUGACGC